UACAGAGGGUGCGAGCGUUAAUCGGAAUUACUGGGCGUAAAGCGCGCGUAGGCGGCUUUGCAAGUCGGGUGUGAAAUCCCCAGGCUUAACCAGGGAACUGCAUUCGAGACUGCAUUGCUAGAGUAUGGGAGAGGGAAGUGGAAUUUCCGGUGUAGCGGUGAAAUGCGUAGAUAUCGGAAGGAACAUCAGUGGCGAAAGCGACUUCCUGGACCAAUACUGACGCUCAUGUGCGAAAGCGUGGGGAGCAAACAGG
Molecule: ribosomal RNA, 253 nt
Filed under: uncultured bacterium
Lineage: Bacteria
Description: partial 16S ribosomal RNA
Rfam family: Bacterial small subunit ribosomal RNA
Source: RNAcentral